Non-coding RNA from Triticum aestivum (bread wheat), 134 nucleotides. Lineage: Eukaryota; Viridiplantae; Streptophyta; Magnoliopsida; Poales; Poaceae. The record is from Rfam.
CAACUACUCCCUCUGUCCCAAAUUUCUUGUCUUAGAUUUGUCUAGAUACGGAUGUAUCUAAUACUAAAAGUGACUUGAUACAUCUGUAUCUAGACAAAUCUAAGACAAGAAUUUUGGGACGGAGGGAGUACUUU